GACGAACGCUGGCGGCGUGCUUAACACAUGCAAGUCGAACGGGUCUGCCCUGUUUUUUGCGGGGUGGGUCAGUGGCGAACGGGUGAGUAACACGUGAGUAACCUGCCCCUCACUUCUGGAUAACCGCUUGAAAGGGUGGCUAAUACGGGGUGUUCUGGCUGUGCCGCAUGGUGUGGCUGGGAAAGAUUCACUUUUGUGGUGUUUUGGUGGGGGAUGGGCUCGCGGCCUAUCAGCUUGUUGGUGGGGUGAUGGCCUGCCAAGGCUUUGACGGGUAGCCGGCCUGAGAGGGUGGGCGGUCACACUGGGACUGAGAUACGGCCCAGACUCCUGCGGGAGGCAGCAGUGGGGGGUAUUGCACAAUGGGCGGAAGCCUGAUGCAGCGACGUCGCGUGAGGGAUGGAGGCCUUCGGGUUGUGAACCUCUUUCGCCGGUGAAGGAGGUCCUGCUCUUUGGGGUGGGGUUGACGGUAGCCGGGUUAUGAAGCGCCGGCUAACUACGUG
RNAcentral lists this ribosomal RNA (500 nucleotides) under uncultured bacterium. Its description in RNAcentral is "partial 16S ribosomal RNA". It matches the Rfam family "Bacterial small subunit ribosomal RNA", at positions 28 to 507 of the family's 1533-position model. The record is from RNAcentral.